UUCAACUUUAGCCAGAUACAAAAUAUUGCCAUGAAUGUCUACAUAUAUUUUCUUACUGGCACGGCAAGAAAAUAAGCAUAAUAAUGAAGAUAUCAAGCUGUACUUAUUAAUACAAAGUAAACAGCCAUAAAAUAAACCACGAUAGAGCUGCCGCAUUCAGAAAUUUUCAGAUUUUCCACUUACAAUUAUGCAUAAUACGGCGCUUAUCGCAGAACCAAUUGCCCGUACAAUAAUACAUAUACACACAGAACCAUAAUCAUCUAUUAGCAAGGCAAAUCAGGGACUAUGCCAUAUAACCAAUCUGGGUGGCCAACUCGUUUCGAUCCACUUUUGCUCCAUGCUCGGUGCUCCGGCAGGUCAUAAGUGCAGCAUCAUUUCCGUUACAUAUAAAUACACUUUUCUGGUUCAAUUGCGGCUGUUGGCCAUGACUUGGCCGAGCCCGGACGGGCCUGGCCGGCAUCGAAAUCGACAUCGAUAUCGGCAUCUUCCGCACGGCAGUCAACAGUCAACGAGCGCAAUUUAAACUUGUUACGUGCUUCAAGCAUCGUCAUGUUCAGCGUAAUGAAAUGUGGAGCACAGAGAUACGGAUACAUAGAUACAGAUACCAUACACCGGCACUUCAGUAUCUGUAGCAGCAGCUAGUCAGACACGGCAGCAUUUUUCUGCCUGAUUUGAAGAUGCCGUCUCUGCCCAUCGAAGCGUGUCCUUUUAUUACUAUCCCAUAUACGAGAAGGCAGUCGAGUCAUGCUGAGUCCUGUUGUCCUUGUGUGUUUAUCACAUGAAAUUAUGAAUCUCCUCUCCUGCACUCCAACUUUGAAGCCUUUUCGUUGCCAAGAAAUUGUUUUGUCUUUCACCGCCAUUGGGGAUGAUUAGCCAUAGAGUUACGACCUUUGCAGAACAUUAAAUCAUACAUCCUUAUCCAGGA
Molecule: long non-coding RNA, 925 nt
Organism: Drosophila ananassae
Lineage: Eukaryota; Metazoa; Arthropoda; Insecta; Diptera; Drosophilidae
Exons: 2
Source: RefSeq, a predicted model, not a curated record